AGAGUUUGAUCCUGGCUCAGGACGAAUGCUGGCGGCGUGCCUAACACAUGCAAGUCGAACGAAGCUCGAAGCUCUGAGAUUUCGGUCAAGGAGCCUAGAUGACUUAGUGGCGAACGGGUGAGUAAUGCGUGAGCAACCUGCCUUUCAGAGGGGGACAAUAGCUGGAAACGGCUGCUAAUACCGCAUAACACAUCGGGGUGGCAUCACCCUGGUGUCAAAGGAGCAAUCCGCUGAGAGAUGGGCUCACGUCUGAUUAGCUGGUUGGUGAGGUAACGGCUCACCAAGGCGACGAUCAGUAGCCGGUCUGAGAGGAUGAACGGCCACAUUGGGACUGAGAUACGGCCCAGACUCCUACGGGAGGCAGCAGUGGGGAAUAUUGGGCAAUGGGCGAAAGCCUGACCCAGCAACGCCGCGUGAAGGAAGAAGGCUUUCGGGUUGUAAACUUCUUUUAUCAGGGACGAAGGAUGUGACGGUACCUGAUGAAUAAGCCACGGCUAACUACGUGCCAGCAGCCGCGGUAAUACGUAGGUGGCAAGCGUUGUCCGGAUUUACUGGGUGUAAAGGGCGCGUAGGCGGAGAGACAAGUCAGAUGUGAAAUCUAUGGGCUUAACCCAUAAACAGCAUUUGAAACUAUCUCCCUUGAGUGAUGGAGAGGCAGGCGGAAUUCCUAGUGUAGCGGUGAAAUGCGUAGAUAUUAGGAGGAACACCAGUGGCGAAGGCGGCUUGCUGGACAUUAACUGACGCUGAGGCGCGAAAGCGUGGGGAGCAAACAAAAGUAGAUACCCUGGUAGUCCACGCCGUA
This 802-nucleotide ribosomal RNA is filed under the name uncultured bacterium. RNAcentral's name for it is "bacterial SSU rRNA". It matches the Rfam family "Bacterial small subunit ribosomal RNA", at positions 8 to 804 of the family's 1533-position model. The record is from RNAcentral.